GUUUGAAUUAGGCGUUCGACGUUCUUCGAUUACCAGUCUCGUAAUUGCGAUAACGGAAGUCGGAUCGAGAUGGAAUCCAAGAGAGCCUGGCUAAAAUGAGCUUCUCUUGGUUGGAGCUCGUCGAAAAUGUACUUUAACGUGUUUGGGAGGAAUUUUCAAUGAGAUUUGAGAGAAAAUAAAUACGCGCGAAAUAUUCGGAAAACAUGAUGACUAAAGUGAGAAUAAAAAUGAAGGUCCUAUCGUUAUCAGGAAAUUUCAAAAUAAUUAUUUCGGGAGAUUCGGACCUAUGAUACUUUUAAAUCGCGAAUAAUGUACAUUGGAAACAUUGAUCAGGAGGAACGCGUUUUAAAAGAAAAGAUAUAUUAAAACAGAAUGGCGAUUUCGAUGCGCAAGAGGUACGAAGGACGAGGUAACAAGGCGACAGGGAAGAAGAAAGAGAAAAUGAAAUUUGCAUUAACGAAACGAAUGUCGAUUUCAUUUGUAUCGUGAAUCAUUCUUGGAGAAAUAUUUUUCAUCAUGGAACAGGACAUUUGUUUUUCUCAAAUGACACUCAAUAAAAAAUAUAUACAGCAUCAUGGCGCACAUCCGCGCCGUUGGUGAUUCGAAUAUCGUUUCUGCAUAAAAAUCGUGCAAACGAACAUUGAUUUUUCCCAAAUACACGCGACGUAUUCAGUAAAAUCAUUUUCAUAGAGCAAAAGCGAUAUUUGUAGAAUUUCAACGACGCUGCAUUUGCACAAGAGCUGUGGCUAUAUUUGUAUUUCUUGAUUUUGAGAGAGAAAAAGCUUGGCAAAGAGUUCCAUGUAAAAUAUAUUUCACCAAACUCGAAAAUGUUUACUCGAAACGUAAUUGUAAUAUUCUCGUGUUCAAUGUUCAAAUUUUAUAGUAAUCGUGCUGGUUUCAAGUUUCUCAACAUUUUACGAUGGUGUGUACUACGAAUAAAUUAAUAUCGUCUCCGGGAGAAUAUCGUGGCUAGAAUAUUUCGAAAAUUUUGGUAAAUUUGUUAUUAGGUUUACAGGGUGAUUGACUGCCAUAGAUGUUAAUUUAAAUUUGUGGCUGACACGUGGCUUCUCGAUUUAGGAAAAUCAUUUGUUUAAUUUUAUUACUGCUCAAUUAGAUUAAUUAACAUGUAUAUGCGAUGCGUUUUGGCGUAGGUGAUGGAAUCAGGUUUCUUAUUAUAACAUUCUCUAACAUCGUCGUAGAAAGAACAAUUAAUUAAUAAUCACAUUGACAAAUUGAGUUCGUCGAUGUCAGAGUCCUUUUCAUCGUCUUUGCGACGAUGAACGCUCUUUAAAGGACCGUUCGACGAAGAUACUUGACGAUUACUGUUAACUACAAGUUUGUACUCGCGAUUAAUGUUUGUACAUUUUCUCUUUAAUAUUCGAAUUAAUUAUCUAUUGAAUGUUAACGAUUUUCAGUAAUUUUAUUUCCAUUGGUUCGAUAUGCUUGCUUAGAUUAGAAUACUUUUAAAAUUGUUUAUUGUUGCGAAGCAGUGAAUAGAUUUAGUGCGAUGUUUAUUCGGGAUACGAGUUAAAAGAUGAAAUAUAAUUCGGUAAAAAAAAUAGAUUUUUAUUCGAUAAUUACAGCAACGAACGAUAUCGUCUUCUUAAUAGAUUGUGAACGAAUUUUCAAACAAUUGCGAGAGAUCUUCCUCGGAUUGCUCUCUUGGCGCCAAUUUCGUGAUACGAUGCUGUAAACAACGCGUAGAAUUAGCACGCGAAUGAUAGCGAUAAGAUUCUAUAUUAAUUUCGAAAUUGCACGGGUGAAAAAUACAAAAUAUAAUUAUAAACAUGUGUAUGAUUGGUAUCACAAUUAUGAAUUCGUCAUACAUGUAUAAAAUGUUGAGAAUAUGGCAAAUUUAUUGAAUUGUAAUAGCUAUGUGUAUGGUGAUCAAUAAAUCACUAUCACAAAAA
Hylaeus anthracinus is the source of this 1910-nucleotide long non-coding RNA. RefSeq lists it as uncharacterized. The transcript is spliced from 3 exons. NCBI's taxonomy places the organism in Eukaryota, Metazoa, Arthropoda, Insecta, Hymenoptera, Colletidae. The record is from RefSeq and is a predicted model, not a curated record.